Molecule: non-coding RNA, 64 nt
Organism: Merluccius polli (Benguela hake)
Lineage: Eukaryota; Metazoa; Chordata; Actinopteri; Gadiformes; Merlucciidae
Source: the annotation of a GenBank genome assembly
UGGCGCAACGCUGAGCGCUGCAGGUUGUUGGCCCUGCCGCCCAGGGUUCGAGUCCCGGUGAGGG